Molecule: small nuclear RNA, 293 nt
Filed under: Aotus nancymaae (Ma's night monkey)
Lineage: Eukaryota; Metazoa; Chordata; Mammalia; Primates; Aotidae
Description: 7SK RNA (ENSANAG00000010734.1)
Rfam family: 7SK RNA
About the family: 7SK was discovered as an abundant small nuclear RNA in the mid-70s but a possible function has only recently been suggested. Two independent studies have found that 7SK RNA binds the CDK9/cyclin T complex (known as elongation factor P-TEFb).
Source: Rfam by way of RNAcentral
AGAUGUAAGGGUGGUCUGGCUGCAACAUCUGUCACCCCAGCAUCCGCCAGGGUUGAUUCAGCUGAUCUGGCUGGAUAGCUGCGUGUGCCCUCCUGCCUCACCACUGCAUGUACAUCCCUCCUGAAGCUACAUGCCUGGUUGAAGAAGACAACCUUCCCCAGUAGAAGAGGGCCACUGUUUGGUUAAGGGUAUAUAAGUACCUGUCUCUUAUACACAUCUAGAUGUGUAUAAGAGACAGGAGUGAACAUGUUUAUCACCUUUGUGUGAGCCCCUCCCUUUCUCAGCCCCUCCUC